This 497-nucleotide ribosomal RNA is filed under the name uncultured bacterium. Its description in RNAcentral is "partial 16S ribosomal RNA". It matches the Rfam family "Bacterial small subunit ribosomal RNA", at positions 28 to 507 of the family's 1533-position model. The record is from RNAcentral.
GAUGAACGCUGGCGGCGUGCCUAAUACAUGCAAGUCGAGCGAACAGACGAGGAGCUUGCUCCUCUGACGUUAGCGGCGGACGGGCGAGUAACACGUGGAUAACCUACCUAUAAGACUGGGAUAACUUCGGGAAACCGGAGCUAAUACCGGAGAAUAUAUUGAACCGCAUGGUUCAAUAGUGAAAGACGGUUUUGCUGUCACUUAGAGAUGGAUCCGCGCCGCAUUAGCUAGUUGGUAAGGUAACGGCUUACCAAGGCAACGAUGCGUAGCCGACCUGAGAGGGUGAUCGGCCACACUGGAACUGAGACACGGUCCAGACUCCUACGGGAGGCAGCAGUAGGGAAUCUUCCGCAAUGGGCGAAAGCCUGACGGAGCAACGCCGCGUGAGUGAUGAAGGUCUUCGGAUCGUAAAGCUCUGUUAUUAGGGAAGAACAAAUGUGUAAGUAACUAUGCACGUCUUGACGGUACCUAAUCAGAAAGCCCCGGCUAACUACGUG